Molecule: ribosomal RNA, 369 nt
Filed under: uncultured bacterium
Lineage: Bacteria
Description: bacterial SSU rRNA
Rfam family: Bacterial small subunit ribosomal RNA
Source: RNAcentral
CAGCAGCCGCGGUAAUACGUAGGUGGCAAGCGUUAUCCGGAAUUAUUGGGCGUAAAGAGGGAGCAGGCGGCAGCAAGGGUCUGUGGUGAAAGCCUGAAGCUUAACUUCAGUAAGCCAUAGAAACCAGGCAGCUAGAGUGCAGGAGAGGAUCGUGGAAUUCCAUGUGUAGCGGUGAAAUGCGUAGAUAUAUGGAGGAACACCAGUGGCGAAGGCGACGAUCUGGCCUGCAACUGACGCUCAGUCCCGAAAGCGUGGGGAGCAAAUAGGAUUAGAUACCCUAGUAGUCCACGCCGUAAACGAUGAGUACUAAGUGUUGGAUGUCAAAGUUCAGUGCUGCAGUUAACGCAAUAAGUACUCCGCCUGAGUAGU